UGAGCUGCAGCUGUGGGGGGAAAUGGUGGUGGCUGUGGUGAGGAGGCAGUGGCAGCCGCCGCGGGCUGCUGUGAGGAGGUGGCGGCAGAGGUAGCUGCAGCCCUAGCCUGGCCAUCGCAGCCAUGACCUGAGAGAAGGCGGGAGGCAGCGGGACAGACUGGCCCUGGAGGUGCCUACAGGGACUCAUAACAAGAUGUCCAAAGCAGCUAACAUCAACAUAGAUUAAAAGCAAGUUUAAGUGUUGGUACAUGAAAGCAAACCAUAGAGCACAAACAGAAAAUGAGCAGCAGAAAUCACCAGCAAACUUGGGAGAAAGUCACUCUGUAAAUAUGCUGAAAAUGAAAUAUUUUGGCCUGGUAUCCUACAGGGUUGAUUUGAUUUAAAUCAAAUCCAUUUAAAUCAUUAUUUAAAUCAUGAUUUAAAUUGCUUCACAGAAGGACUCAAUUUUAAUGAGUUAAAUCACAAUUUAAAUUACAAGUCAGAAAACUCUAUUUAAUCAUCAUUUUCUAUAACAGUACAUUCUUAUUGUCUAAUAUAACCUUCUAUUAUAUUAAUUCUCCUGGGUGUGCCUUGGAAUGUGCGUCCCAGAGUCCAGCUGAUUGGCUGGGCAGUGGACGCACCUGAUUGGCUGAGGUGCACCCAGGAGGAUUGGUUGCCACCACGGCCCAGCCAUGGAGGCCAGAGGUGGCCAGAGGUGGUGGGCCCGGCCCGGCCACGGAGGCAAGGCCCAGGAGGGGGGAAAGAAAGUGGGGGCAGAAGUGGCAGUGGGGAGGAGAGGUGGCUGGGCCCAGAAGCAGAGACUGGGGCAGAAGGGUGGGGGGAGAGGUAACCCAAAGAGUACACAGAUGCUCUGUGCGGGGUCAGCUAGUAAUACAUAUUUAGAGAUAAAUACAUAUUUAGAGAUAAAUGUAGGUUUCGUUUUGAAAAGGUACACACUGUAAUAGGUACACACUUCUCAUAAUGCUGUUUCAUUCGGGCAACCAGGCUUUGCAUUUCAUUGUUGCACUGUUUGCAUUUUGCACGUAUGCCUGUCUUACCCACAGGUACAGGAACUUCAUUAAAAUAUUCCCCAAAUGAGUCUCUUUUAUGGUCUACUGCCAUGAUAGGUGUUCCCUUCUAAAACUGAGAAAAAUGUUUCCUCAGGACUGCAUGAAUAUGUUCUGUUCACAUAGGAAGCUGCCAUAUACUGAGUCAGACCCUAGGUCUACCUAGCUCAGUAUUGUCUUCACAGGCUGGCAGCGGCUUCUCCAAAGAUGCAGGCAGGAAUCUCUCUCAGCCCUGUCUUGGAGAUGCUGCCAGGGAGGGAACUUGGAACCUUCUGCUCUUCCCAGAGCUGCUCCAUCCCUCAGAGGAAUCUCUUACAGUGCUAAAACUUCUAGUCUCAUAUUCAUAUGCAACCAGGGUGGACCCUGCUUAGCUAAGGGGGCAAGUCAUGCUUGCUACCACAAGACCAGCUCUCCUCUCUCGUUUGGUUUCACUUUGCAUUUCCCUCCUCUCCAUGUAUAGAAAUAGGAUGUAGAAAUGUUAUAAAUAAAUAAUAAUCAAUAUUUUUAUUUUUAGGAAAAAAGUAAAGACGUGGCUUUUCACCCAACCUUUUGAAUGAGAGCAUUUUGUUGUUACUGCUGCUGCUUUGUGUUAUGUAUUAUCAUUAUUAUGUUAUGGGUUAUUAAAUUUUUAUAGAGAGAUUAUUUUUAUAUUUAUAUUAUUUGUACUUUUAUAUUAUGUAUUCCAAUUUUUGAGAUCAUCUGUACCUUUGUAUUUUAAUUAUACAUUGUUUCAA
Molecule: long non-coding RNA, 1780 nt
Organism: Hemicordylus capensis (graceful crag lizard)
Lineage: Eukaryota; Metazoa; Chordata; Lepidosauria; Squamata; Cordylidae
Exons: 2
Source: RefSeq, a predicted model, not a curated record